Molecule: ribosomal RNA, 253 nt
Filed under: uncultured bacterium
Lineage: Bacteria
Description: partial 16S ribosomal RNA
Rfam family: Bacterial small subunit ribosomal RNA
Source: RNAcentral
UACAGGGGGUGCAAGCGUUGUUCGGAAUUACUGGGCGUAAAGGGUUCGUAGGUGGCCAAUUAAGUCAGACGUGAAAUCCCUCAGCUUAACUGGGGAACUGCGUCUGAUACUGGUUGGCUUGAGUGCAGGAGAGGAAUGCGGAAUUCCAGGUGUAGCGGUGAAAUGCGUAGAUAUCUGGAGGAACACCGGUGGCGAAGGCGGCAUUCUGGACUGUAACUGACACUGAGGAACGAAAGCCAGGGGAGCAAACGGG